AACGAACGCUGGCGGCAUGCCUAACACAUGCAAGUCGAACGAGACCUUCGGGUCUAGUGGCGCACGGGUGCGUAACGCGUGGGAAGCUGCCCUUAGGUUCGGUAUAACUCCCCGAAAGGGAUGCUAAUACCGGUUAAUGUCUUCGGACCAAAGAUUUCUCGCCUUUGGGUGGGCCCGCGUUGGAUUAGCUAGUUGGUAGUGUAAAAGCCUACCAUGGCGACGAUCCAUAGCUGGUCUGAGAGGAUGAUCAGCCACACUGGGACUGAGACACGGCCCAGACUCCUACGGGAGGCAGCAGUGGGGAAUAUUGGACAAUGGGCGAAAGCCUGAUCCAGCAAUGCCGCGUGAGUGAUGAAGGCCUUAGGGUUGUAAAGCUCUUUUACCCGGGAUGAUAAUGACAGUACCGGGAGAAUAAGCUCCGGCUAACUCCGUG
RNAcentral lists this ribosomal RNA (433 nucleotides) under uncultured bacterium. RNAcentral's name for it is "partial 16S ribosomal RNA". It matches the Rfam family "Bacterial small subunit ribosomal RNA", at positions 29 to 507 of the family's 1533-position model. The record is from RNAcentral.